RNAcentral lists this transfer RNA (72 nucleotides) under Antarctophthirus carlinii. Its description in RNAcentral is "tRNA-Trp". RNAcentral also lists the same sequence under 1 other name. Lineage: Eukaryota; Metazoa; Arthropoda; Insecta; Psocodea; Echinophthiriidae. The record is from RNAcentral.
UAGGUGGUAGGUUAUCUUCUAAUUUAAACCUUCUCCGUUCAAAGGAGACAAUGACUUGUAUGUUCCACUUAA